This is an RNA transcript of Triticum aestivum (bread wheat), 1409 nucleotides long. It is a transcript of the gene named UMP-CMP kinase 3, with no coding region annotated. The transcript is spliced from 9 exons. NCBI's taxonomy places the organism in Eukaryota, Viridiplantae, Streptophyta, Magnoliopsida, Poales, Poaceae. The record is from RefSeq and is a predicted model, not a curated record.
CACGCUUCCCGCGGAGACCCCGCGUGGGACCCAUCCCCCACGACCCCACCACCUCCCCCUCCACCUGGCCGCGCGCCGCGCGCGUAUUAAACGGCCUCCUCCUCCGCCUCGCUCCUCUCGCACCAACGCCACAGACCAACACCGCAGCACGCACCACGCGCCCCCCCACCCUGUGAUCGCUCGCCGUGGUCUCGCCGCCGCGCCGACCCCUCCACCGGCAUUCGAUUCGGAGCCCAGCUCGUCCGGCGGCGCGGAGCCAUGGGCACGGUUGUGGAUGCUCCCGCAGUUGUGACUGAGAAGGAGGUGGUUGCUGAGAACAUGUUGGGUGACAAGAAAGUCACAGUAGUAUUUGUUCUUGGUGGUCCUGGAAGUGGAAAGGGCACACAGUGUUCCAACAUUGUUGAACACUUUGGAUUCACCCAUCUUAGUGCUGGAGAUCUUUUGCGCGCGGAGAUUAAAUCUGGCUCUGAGAAUGGAACUAUGAUUGAGAACAUGAUAAAGGAGGGAAAGAUUGUUCCGUCGGAGGUGACUAUAAAGCUCUUGCAGCAAGCCAUGAUAAAGAAUGAGAAUGAUAAGUUCCUCAUCGACGGGUUUCCAAGGAAUGAAGAGAAUCGUGCUGCGUUCGAGAAUGUUGUAAGCUCGUCUACUCCUUGCACUUCAAAAUUGAUGUUCGUUCACUUUUCAGUGCCAACUCACAUAAUAGUUCAGCAGCUUCUUCUUGUCUUCCAUCAUAAUGUACGUAUAAAUGACUUUGCAAGAUUGCUGAUUGCUUCACAUUUUCUCAGACAAAAAUUUCGCCUGCAUUUGUGCUGUUCUUCAAUUGUUCCGAGGAAGAGAUGGAAAGACGUCUUCUGGGACGCAAUGAGGGUAGAGUUGAUGACAACAUCGAGACUAUCAGGAAGAGAUUCAAAGUUUUUGUUGAAUCCAGUUUGCCUGUGAUUGAGUACUAUGACGCGAAGGACAAGGUUAAGAAGAUCGAUGCUGCAAAACCAAUUCCUGAGGUGUUUGAAGAUGUCAAAGCCAUUUUUGCCCCAUAUGCCAAGGCUACAUAGAACAGUAUAAAGGACCACAAAGGUGAUAAAUGGAAUGAUUUCAUACAAGGUUUUGCUCAAGUGUGACUACAUAUCUGUGAUUACAAACCCUUAAUAUAGAUCAGACUUAUCAGUAGACAAUUUGAUUUGUUGCCAGCAAUAAGUUAGAUCUGGUUUGUGGUGUUUCUGCUAGAAGUUUUUAUUUACCACCCGUUGUUGGUGUAUCCCAUGUAGUGUACCUGUACCAUUGUGUAAUUUACUGCAAGGACGAAUCAGACCUUGUGCCCAUGAGCUAUCCGGUUGUAUUACAGAAAAUUGAACUUAUCACAUGUUCACUCAUAUUUACAUUCUUUAUACACUGUUGGUUCUUCUGUUGAA